UGGGCGCCAAAACCCAUAAGAUCUCCAUACCCCGUCCGGCAUGUGAGACCACAAUCCCGGUAGGGUUCCCUACGGACCCGGUCCGUCCACCAUCUCCCAGGAUAUCUAGUCAGGCUGACCCCCAUAAUACAAUUAUCAGUUUACACAAUCUUUCAUUCUUCCUUUUCCUCAAUCAGCAUCAUCAAUUCACAUUUAAACAAGCAAAU
This 206-nucleotide long non-coding RNA is filed under the name Carica papaya (papaya). RNAcentral's name for it is "long non-coding RNA (CPAP_LNC014659)". Lineage: Eukaryota; Viridiplantae; Streptophyta; Magnoliopsida; Brassicales; Caricaceae. The record is from RNAcentral.